This is a long non-coding RNA of Rhopalosiphum padi (bird cherry-oat aphid), 492 nucleotides long. RefSeq lists it as uncharacterized. Lineage: Eukaryota; Metazoa; Arthropoda; Insecta; Hemiptera; Aphididae. The transcript has 3 exons. The record is from RefSeq and is a predicted model, not a curated record.
AGUACAUAGAUCACUCGUUGCAUGCUGAGACAUGAAUUCACAUUACUACCACUUCGGAAAGUAUCAAUAUCCUACGUGUAAAAUGGACUAGAAGAUACUGAUAAUAUUAAUUGUUUUAUGCAAUAUGGCAAUACAGCAGAUCACUCAAGGCUUGCUGAGACAUGACUACGCAUUCAUACCACUUGGGAAAAUAUCAUCAUCCUACGUUGAAAAUUAACUAGAAGAUACUGAUAAUUAUAUAGGUUUUAUGCAAUAUGGCUGUACAUAGAUCACUCGAUGCAUGCUGAGACAUGAAUUCACAUUUCUACCACUUCGGAAAGUAUCAAUAUCCUAUGUUGAAAAUCGACUAGAUGAUACUGAUUACAAUAAUAGUUUUAUGUAAAGUACGAGUAAUGGAUAUUGAAUAUAAUUGAUAGUGACAUAAUUGUAGUAUAACAAAAACUUAGUGUCAUGAAAUCCAGACCAUUAGAUUAAGUAAAUAAUUCUUAUUUA